AUUGAACGCUGGCGGCAGGCCUAACACAUGCAAGUCGAACGGUAACAGGAAACAGCUUGCUGUUUCGCUGACGAGUGGCGGACGGGUGAGUAAUGUCUGGGAAACUGCCUGAUGGAGGGGGAUAACUACUGGAAACGGUAGCUAAUACCGCAUAACGUCGCAAGACCAAAGAGGGGGACCUUCGGGCCUCUUGCCAUCGGAUGUGCCCAGAUGGGAUUAGCUAGUAGGUGGGGUAACGGCUCACCUAGGCGACGAUCCCUAGCUGGUCUGAGAGGAUGACCAGCCACACUGGAACUGAGACACGGUCCAGACUCCUACGGGAGGCAGCAGUGGGGAAUAUUGCACAAUGGGCGCAAGCCUGAUGCAGCCAUGCCGCGUGUAUGAAGAAGGCCUUCGGGUUGUAAAGUACUUUCAGCGGGGAUGAAGGGAGUAAAGUUAAUACCUUUGCUCAUUGACGUUGCCCGCAGAAGAAGCACCGGCUAACUCCGUG
RNAcentral lists this ribosomal RNA (490 nucleotides) under uncultured bacterium. RNAcentral's name for it is "partial 16S ribosomal RNA". It matches the Rfam family "Bacterial small subunit ribosomal RNA", at positions 30 to 507 of the family's 1533-position model. The record is from RNAcentral.